RNAcentral lists this ribosomal RNA (486 nucleotides) under uncultured bacterium. RNAcentral's name for it is "partial 16S ribosomal RNA". It matches the Rfam family "Bacterial small subunit ribosomal RNA", at positions 28 to 507 of the family's 1533-position model. The record is from RNAcentral.
GGCGAACGCUGGCGGCGUGCUUAACACAUGCAAGUCGAACGCUGAAGACCUGGCUUUUGUUGGGUUGGCUGAGUGGCGAACGGGUGAGUAACACGUGAGUAACCUGCCCUCUUCUUUGGGAUAACGCCCGGAAACGGGUGCUAAUACUGGAUAUUCACUGAUCUUCGCAUGGGGGUUGGUGGAAAGGUUUGUUCUGGUGGGGGAUGGGCUCGCGGCCUAUCAGCUUGUUGGUGGGGUGAUGGCCUACCAAGGCUUUGACGGGUAGCCGGCCUGGGAGGGUGACCGGUCACAUUGGGACUGAGAUACGGCCCAGACUCCUACGGGAGGCAGCAGUGGGGAAGAUAGCACAAUGGGCGAAAGCCUGAUGCAGCGACGCCGCGUGAGGGAUGGAGGCCUUCGGGUUGUAAACCUCUUUCGCUCAUGGUCAAGCCGCAACUGUGGGUUGUGGUGAGGGUAGUGGGUAAAGAAGCGCCGGCUAACUACGUG